GAGGAGCGCGUUGGGGAAUGGCAGGGGGGGUGCUCCCUACUGCAAAGCUCUGCUUCUGGCCACGUGGUGGCAAACGGAGCACUGCAGCAGCGAGUUUAUUUGGAGCAGUCCUGGCUGGGUCCCCUCUUGGGCCAGCAGCCCAGACAAGUGCGGCUGUGGCAAGAAAAGGAACGUUGCAACAGAAGAACUGAGGCAGUGCCAGUGAGUGCACAAAGCGGUGCUUGCCCUGGAGGAACAGCAUAGUGCAAAUUCCCAGUGCUGUCGCAUGCACGGGGACACAGCUCGUGGCCUUGACCUCAGCAGAGCCCUCCCACUUUACACCAGGUUUUCUCCCUUCCUCACAUCGUGAUCAGCAUCUGCCCUUGUCUAUCUGGCUUCUACCGUGGGCUGCAGCUCACCACCAGCGCAGCUCUGCCGUCCACAGAGAGCUGGGCAGGUGGCAGUUCAGUGCCCAGCACGUGGCCCCAGUCCUCCACAGGAGUCCCCAGGAGGGUUUCCACCACCCCUGCAGCUGGCACCUCACCGUAGCACAUGUCUGAGCCACAUGCAGAUGUGUGUGGGUGCUGGAGGGACUGGCAGGGCACGUGCUUGCUCCAGUCAGUGGGGCAAUGUAGAGGAGCUGGUGGCUCCCCAAACUCACCGGUAACCAGCUCAGCCCUCAACGUUGUGUAGGGCUGCACGGGGAGCUGCCCUAACCUCCAGUCCUGGGCUGUCCUCGCAGCCAGGACUAUCUGGGAGAAACACCUUGACUGUGCCGGGGCCUCUGGGCAUUCCUUUAGAGGGUAGCAACGAGCCGGUUCCGCCUGGUGCUGACCAAGGAGGAUUUCCCCGGUGUCGACUGAAUUCCCCUGCGUGGUGAGAACGAGACCGCCCCGUGCCCCGCAGCCCUCGGGGGGGGGCUUCGGGUCAAUCCCCCGCGGCUCCCUGCCCCCGUGGGCGGGCUGCAGG
RNAcentral lists this long non-coding RNA (948 nucleotides) under Anas platyrhynchos platyrhynchos (common mallard). RNAcentral's name for it is "lncRNA (ENSAPLG00000019567.1)". The record is from RNAcentral. Lineage: Eukaryota; Metazoa; Chordata; Aves; Anseriformes; Anatidae.